This is an RNA transcript of Rosa chinensis, 2573 nucleotides long. RefSeq lists it as uncharacterized. The record is from RefSeq and is a predicted model, not a curated record. Lineage: Eukaryota; Viridiplantae; Streptophyta; Magnoliopsida; Rosales; Rosaceae. The transcript is spliced from 5 exons.
UGUUGCUCGGUGUACGAGUGUGAGCCAUAGUGACCGCACCUGCUUCCGCCAUCACCUUCUGUGCUAUGCCUCCUAGACGCCGAAGACGUGAGGAAACCCCUCCUGUUGAUGAUGGGGGAGAUACACCGCAGAAUCUUGCAGAUGCGUUUGGACAGUUCUUUCAGCAGUUUGCUGCCGUACUCCCCGGUUCACGCACUGACUAUACUGUGGAGCGUGCUAAGAGAAACGGGGCUCAGACUUUUGCUUCCGCCACAUCACCUGUAGAGGCUCAGCGGUGGCUUGAUAGGAUGGAGAGAGUGUUCUCCCAGAUGGAGCUCCCAGAGGACAGGAAGGUUAAUUUGGCGGUGCAGUUCCUGGAGGAUACCGCCUGGCAUUGGUGGACUGGUGUUGUCAAUGACCCUGCAAAUGCUGGCCCGAUGACGUGGGAUAUGUUCAAGGCCCAUUUCUGUGGACGGUACUUUAGUGAUGCCCACCUUAAUCGGAUGCAAGACCAGUUCUUGAGCUUGGUGAAGAGGGAUGAGCAGUCAGUGUUGGAGUUUGAGCAGGAGUUUCUCUCUUUGGCCCAUCAUGUGCCGGAUUUGGUUCGUACUGAGCAAAGUAAGAUUCGUAGAUUUGUCUUGGGACUUGGAGGAAAGUUUAAGGAUAAGAUGUUAGGCACACCGUACCGUAGCUUUGCUGAGGCGAUAUCUUAUGCCAUGGACAUUGAGUCAGACUCACCUGCUGGAUUUCACCCUAGGGAUUCUGGCGGCCCUAGCCAGGGUCCAUCUAAGAGGGCUGCUUCCACUUCUGGUUCAGGAUCUUCUGGAGGUAGUAGAUUUGUCAGUUCAGACUCGACCACCUUACCGGAUUUUGGAGGACUUAAUGUGGGAGGUGGACAGUCUGACUGGCAGUUCAGUGUCAGCACAGGUCAGUACGGUGGUACCUCAGAGGGAUUCCAUACUUGGAGGGAUCGUUCCCAGCAUCAAACGAGAGAUGUGACGUGCUAUCAGUGCGGACAGCAGGGUCAUUAUAGAAGGGAUUGCCCUACAUUGACUCAGGACGCUACUCCAAACGUCGGUCAAGGUUCUAGUCAUGCAUCAGGAGGGUUAUCUAGCGGCACUCACACUAAUUCAACCAAGGGCGACACUUCCACCAGUUCUGCCAGGGGCGGCACUCAACGGAGUAGUGGUCGUCGUGGACGUCCAGCGACACAAACAAGACUUCAUGCCAUGGUUCAGCGAGAGGAUCACGUUCCUCUAGGUACUACCGACGAUUGCAGUACUGUUGCUCGGUGUACGAGUGUGAGCCAUAGUGACCGCACCUGCUUCCGCCAUCACCUUCUGUGCUAUGCCUCCUAGACGCCGAAGACGUGAGGAAACCCCUCCUGUUGAUGAUGGGGGAGAUACACCGCAGAAUCUUGCAGAUGCGUUUGGACAGUUCUUUCAGCAGUUUGCUGCCGUACUCCCCGGUUCACGCACUGACUAUACUGUGGAGCGUGCUAAGAGAAACGGGGCUCAGACUUUUGCUUCCGCCACAUCACCUGUAGAGGCUCAGCGGUGGCUUGAUAGGAUGGAGAGAGUGUUCUCCCAGAUGGAGCUCCCAGAGGACAGGAAGGUUAAUUUGGCGGUGCAGUUCCUGGAGGAUACCGCCUGGCAUUGGUGGACUGGUGUUGUCAAUGACCCUGCAAAUGCUGGCCCGAUGACGUGGGAUAUGUUCAAGGCCCAUUUCUGUGGACGGUACUUUAGUGAUGCCCACCUUAAUCGGAUGCAAGACCAGUUCUUGAGCUUGGUGAAGAGGGAUGAGCAGUCAGUGUUGGAGUUUGAGCAGGAGUUUCUCUCUUUGGCCCAUCAUGUGCCGGAUUUGGUUCGUACUGAGCAAAGUAAGAUUCGUAGAUUUGUCUUGGGACUUGGAGGAAAGUUUAAGGAUAAGAUGUUAGGCACACCGUACCGUAGCUUUGCUGAGGCGAUAUCUUAUGCCAUGGACAUUGAGUCAGACUCACCUGCUGGAUUUCACCCUAGGGAUUCUGGCGGCCCUAGCCAGGGUCCAUCUAAGAGGGCUGCUUCCACUUCUGGUUCAGGAUCUUCUGGAGGUAGUAGAUUUGUCAGUUCAGACUCGACCACCUUACCGGAUUUUGGAGGACUUAAUGUGGGAGGUGGACAGUCUGACUGGCAGUUCAGUGUCAGCACAGGUCAGUACGGUGGUACCUCAGAGGGAUUCCAUACUUGGAGGGAUCGUUCCCAGCAUCAAACGAGAGAUGUGACGUGCUAUCAGUGCGGACAGCAGGGUCAUUAUAGAAGGGAUUGCCCUACAUUGACUCAGGACGCUACUCCAAACGUCGGUCAAGGUUCUAGUCAUGCAUCAGGAGGGUUAUCUAGCGGCACUCACACUAAUUCAACCAAGGGCGACACUUCCACCAGUUCUGCCAGGGGCGGCACUCAACGGAGUAGUGGUCGUCGUGGACGUCCAGCGACACAAACAAGACUUCAUGCCAUGGUUCAGCGAGAGGAUCACGUUCCUCUAGGUACUACCGACGGACGUGAUACCGACCUAUCGCUCGACGAGGAUCCUUACGCUUGGAUACCACGUUAGCCGUA